Non-coding RNA from Echinops telfairi (small Madagascar hedgehog), 132 nucleotides. The record is from Rfam. NCBI's taxonomy places the organism in Eukaryota, Metazoa, Chordata, Mammalia, Afrosoricida, Tenrecidae.
GGCGGGGCCGAGGGGGCUGAGCUAGGGGGGGAGGGGCGGCAUGGGUCACGUGACGCGGCUCUACUGUUUACACGCGGAUCUGCCCGGCGCUCGCCGUUUCGCCUCAGUCAGGCGCUCGGCUCCGUUUCGGUU